CCGAAGAACAAUUGAAAGCAUCUAAAAACAUUUAACAUAUACUUUCCACCCUCUUUGGAAAUAGGUUGGAAAGGAAUAAAUCAAUCAUUUUGUAUGUCUAGAAUCCAAAAUGGUUGUGCAGAGGGGGAGGGGAGGGUUCAAAAACACUCCCUGAAUCAGGCAUAGGCAAACUCAGCCCUCCAGAUGUUUUGGAACUACAAUUCCCAUUAUCCCUGACCACUGGUCCUGUUAGCUAGGGAUCAUGGGAGUUGUAGUCCCAAAACAUCUGGAGGGCCAAGUUUGCCUAUGCCUGCCCUACAUGAAAAAGUUACUGGUGAGGGGGGAGUUCAAAGGCCCUAAGAUGUGGGCAGAAAUCCUUGCAUGCUUACAGGUUAUUAUUGUUUUCUUAAGGCUCUCGGCCAUUGUGCAUGAAGAAAUAUCCUUUCUAGAAUACUUUCCAUUCCAUUCCCUCCUCCACUUUACUCUCUGGUGCUGAAGUCAUUAUGUUUUAUCAACAGUGCUUUUCUCUAUUGGGUAAACAGUCUCCUUUUGUGUGGUGACAGAAAACAAUAUGUUGGCAAUAAUAAAACUGAAGUAUCUUCUCCAAAGGCUUUUGUGGUGGCAGCAGCUGUUGAGUGUAGGUCUAGGAGUUGGCUCCUAGGCCCGCAUGUAAUAAAUACAUUCCAACUCCCUCCAGGCUGUCAGUAUGUUGAAGGACGGGUUCAAGUUAGACUUGAGCACUUAAAAGUGAAUUAAAGCCUUCUGUCGGGCUAGCAGAACAAAUCCACUUUUUAAAAAUGGACUUUUUGCAGUUAGGAAAGUGACAGUGAACUGAACUGAAACAUAUUCGGUGAACAAAGUGUGGGAAGACAAUUAAACACUCCACAAUCAAAUCAGGAGAAAUGCACAAGGAAUCCUUCUGCCCGUGUAACCACCCCAUGAGCAAAUCAGAACAAAUAGUCAGUAAAGACCAGAUGUAAUCUAACUACCGUAUUUUUCGCUCCAUUGGACGCAGUUUUUCCCCCAAAAAGUUGAGAGGAAAUGUGUGUGCGUCCUAUGGAGCGAAUGCAGGCUUGUGCCAUAGUCGCACGCAACCCCUCAGGCAGGGAGAGGCUGCACGGGGCUAUGGCUUCUUUAGCCCUGCGCAGCCUCUCCUGGCAGGGAGAGAUUGCGCGGGGCUAAAGAGGAAGCCAAAGCAGCCAGCGGGAUCCAUCGCAUUCACUGCCUUGGCUUGUUCCAUAGCCGCGCGCAACCCCUCCGGCAGGGAGAGGUUGUGC
Molecule: non-coding RNA, 1256 nt
Organism: Podarcis lilfordi (Lilford's wall lizard)
Lineage: Eukaryota; Metazoa; Chordata; Lepidosauria; Squamata; Lacertidae
Source: the annotation of a GenBank genome assembly